UACAGAGGGUGCAAGCGUUAAUCGGAAUUACUGGGCGUAAAGGGCGCGUAGGUGGAGAUAUAAGUUAGGUGUGAAAACCCUGGGCUUAACCUAGGGCGUGCAUUUGAUACUGUAUUUCUGGAGUACUGUAGAGGUAAGUGGAAUUUCCGGUGUAGCGGUGAAAUGCGUAGAUAUCGGGAAGAACACCAGUGGCGAAGGCGACUUACUGGACAGAUACUGACACUGAGGCGCGAAAGCGUGGGAAGCAAACAGG
Molecule: ribosomal RNA, 253 nt
Filed under: uncultured bacterium
Lineage: Bacteria
Description: partial 16S ribosomal RNA
Rfam family: Bacterial small subunit ribosomal RNA
Source: RNAcentral